AUCCAGCUGACGAGUCCCACAAUAGGGCGGAAUCUGCGUCCUGGAU
RNAcentral lists this non-coding RNA (46 nucleotides) under Schistosoma mansoni. The record is from RNAcentral. Lineage: Eukaryota; Metazoa; Platyhelminthes; Trematoda; Strigeidida; Schistosomatidae.